GGGGAAUAUUGGACAAUGGGCGAAAGCCUGAUCCAGCAACGCCGCGUGAGGGAUGACGGCCUUCGGGUUGUAAACCUCUUUCAGCGGGGACGAAGCGCCAGUGACGGUACCCGCAGAAGAAGCACCGGCCAACUACGUGCCAGCAGCCGCGGUAAUACGUAGGGUGCGAGCGUUGUCCGGAAUUAUUGGGCGUAAAGGGCUCGUAGGCGGUUUGUCGCGUCAGGAGUGAAAACUCGGGGCUUAACCCCGAGCCUGCUUCUGAUACGGGCAGACUAGAGGUAUGCAGGGGAGACUGGAAUUCCUGGUGUAGCGGUGGAAUGCGCAGAUAUCAGGAGGAACACCGGUGGCGAAGGCGGGUCUCUGGGCAGUAACUGACGCUGAGGAGCGAAAGCGUGGGGAGCGAAC
This 405-nucleotide ribosomal RNA is filed under the name uncultured bacterium. Its description in RNAcentral is "bacterial SSU rRNA". It matches the Rfam family "Bacterial small subunit ribosomal RNA", at positions 356 to 773 of the family's 1533-position model. The record is from RNAcentral.